GAUUUUAUUAAGGAUAAUUUUUGUUAUUAUAGAAUAUUAGAUUAGUAUGGUGAGUGAAAAUUAAGGUUGUUUUAUAAAGAAAUGAGUACUGUGUAGGAUUUAAGAUAAAUUUAUUAAAAAUAUUAGGUUUAUUAGUACCUUUUGUAUUAGGGUUUUUUAAUUUUAUUUGAUAUUAAUUUUUAUCUUGAUGAAUAUCGGGCUAUUAUUUAAGAGUAGAGAUUUUGUUGCAUAAAAUUUUUUAUUGUUUAAUAGUUAUGAAAUAUUAUUCAAGUUAUUUUUUAUCUAGUUUUCUGAGGAGUAUAAUAGUAGGUAUAUGUAUUAUGGAGGUAAGCGGGGAUUAGCUUGUUUAUUGUUUAUAUGUUUUGAAGAAGGAUAUUUAUUGGUGAAGUUGAAAGUUCUUAGUUUUAUGGUGUUAUUAUUGAUUAAGUUUUAUUUGUUGAUUUUUUAAUAGCUAUGUGUGAAUUUGGAAUUUUAUUUUAAUUUUUAUUUUAAUGAUAUAAUGAUAAAAUUAGUAAUAUAGUGUUUAUAUGAUAGGUUACUGAAUUGUUUUUGGUGAUAAGUUAUAAUUAAUAUUAAUGGUGGAGAAUUCGGCAAAAAAGCUUUUGACUGUUUAGCAAAAACAUUGUUUUUUGUUGAGGUAAGAAAUAAGUUCUGCCCACUGCUAUGAGGUGAAGGGCUGCAGUAUUUUGACUGUAUGAAGGUAGCAUAAUCAUUAGCUUUUUAAUUGGGGGCUGGUAUGAAGGUGAAACAGGGGUUGACUAUUCUGUUUUUAAUUAAUGAAUUUUAUUUUUAUGUGAAAAAUCAUGAGUAGGUUAAAGGGACAAGAAGACCCUAGUAAGUUUUAUUUUUUGUUGUGAUGCAUACAUAGGUUACAAAAUUAGUGUAAUUUAUGAUCGGGGAGUUUGACUGGGGCGGUGUGUUAAGAAACAUUAUUUAUUUUUUAAUUUUUGAUAGCGAUAUUUGGACCUAAGUAUGGUUAGUUGAGUGUAAAAUUACUGUAGGGAUAACAGCGUAAUUUUUUUUAAGAGUUCUUAUUGACAGAAAAGUUUGCGACCUCGAUG
Molecule: ribosomal RNA, 1061 nt
Filed under: Isaphe convexa
Lineage: Eukaryota; Metazoa; Arthropoda; Diplopoda; Polydesmida; Xystodesmidae
Description: partial large subunit ribosomal RNA
Source: RNAcentral